Molecule: transfer RNA, 72 nt
Filed under: Dendronephthya gigantea
Lineage: Eukaryota; Metazoa; Cnidaria; Anthozoa; Malacalcyonacea; Nephtheidae
Description: tRNA-Cys
Rfam family: tRNA
About the family: Transfer RNA (tRNA) molecules are approximately 80 nucleotides in length. Their secondary structure includes four short double-helical elements and three loops (D, anti-codon, and T loops). Further hydrogen bonds mediate the characteristic L-shaped molecular structure. tRNAs have two regions of fundamental functional importance: the anti-codon, which is responsible for specific mRNA codon recognition, and the 3' end, to which the tRNAs corresponding amino acid is attached (by aminoacyl-tRNA synthetases). tRNAs cope with the degeneracy of the genetic code in two manners: having more than one tRNA (with a specific anti-codon) for a particular amino acid; and 'wobble' base-pairing, i.e. permitting non-standard base-pairing at the 3rd anti-codon position.
Source: RNAcentral
GGGAGUGUAGCUCAGUGGUAGAGCAUUCGACUGCAGAUCGAGAGGUCAGUGGUUCAGCUCCGCUCGCUCCCU